Pygocentrus nattereri (red-bellied piranha) is the source of this 736-nucleotide long non-coding RNA. RefSeq lists it as uncharacterized. The record is from RefSeq and is a predicted model, not a curated record. NCBI's taxonomy places the organism in Eukaryota, Metazoa, Chordata, Actinopteri, Characiformes, Serrasalmidae. The transcript has 5 exons.
UGGCAACAGCUGUCUUUCGGUAACGAACGUCUUUGCUUGGCGGAAAAAUAGUUUAUGAUUGUUAUUCAUAUUAAAAUAAAAUAUGCAGUAAAAGUAGUAUAUUUUAUCAUAUGUGUUGUGUCGCUGUAUAAACGCGUCGUGCUUAACAUCAUCACGGGUAAAAUCAGUAACGUUAACUCGGGACCUGGCUGACUUGAUGUUAUUCCUGAAGACUGAGCAGAGAGAGAGGCGCUGAGGCAAACGACACAUUUAACUUAUAACCUGUCGCAAUGCUGAGGGAGAGAGAUAGGAGUGAACAACGAUUGCAACAAACUUCACAACACAGAGAUGUCUCAGAUGACAAGGUCCUUUGGUUUGAGGCUCCUUUAAGCACUGCUCCAUCAGCUUGGUGAAGAGGGGGAGGUUGGGACAGCAUCUGAAACACCGAACACAAGACAGAUCAGCGCUGGACUUCAAGCUUCGACAGCUCCCUGAGGAUUUUACACGCACUGAGAGCGCUCAGCACAGACUCUCCCGUCUGAGAGAGGAACAAGAAACACUGAAUUCCUGUGGGCCACACAGAGCGAGUGCUUGGUGACCUCUGUCUUCUCAACCUCAGGCUGUAGAAAUGCCUUAAUGCAUCGACCCCAAAGGUGGUGGUUCAACCUCUUAAGUUCAGUUUUUGGAAUAGAAAAUAUAGUUUAUAAAGUAUGCACCAAUUUUUUGGGGCUGGAAUAAAAUCUCAGUCUAUAAGCGU